GAUGAACGCUGGCGGCGUGCCUAAUACAUGCCAGUCGAGCGAACAGACGAGGAGCUUGCUCCUCUGACGUUAGCGGCGGACGGGUGAGUAACACGUGGAUAACCUACCUAUAAGACUGGGAUAACUUCGGGAAACCGGAGCUAAUACCGGAUAAUAUAUUGAACCGCAUGGUUCAAUAGUGAAAGACGGUUUUGCUGUCACUUAUAGAUGGAUCCGCGCCGCAUUAGCUAGUUGGUAAGGUAACGGCUUACCAAGGCAACGAUGCGUAGCCGACCUGAGUGGGUGAUCGGCCACACUGGAACUGAGACACGGUCCAGACUCCUACGGGAGGCAGCAGUAGGGAAUCUUCCGCAAUGGGCGAAAGCUUGACGGAGCAACGCCGCGUGAGUGAUGAAGGUCUUCGGAUCGUAAAACUCUGUUAUUAGGGAAGAACAAAUGUGUAAGUAACUAUGCACGUCUUGACGGUACCUAAUCAGAAAGCCACGGCUAACUACGUG
Molecule: ribosomal RNA, 497 nt
Filed under: uncultured bacterium
Lineage: Bacteria
Description: partial 16S ribosomal RNA
Rfam family: Bacterial small subunit ribosomal RNA
Source: RNAcentral